UGGGGAAUAUUGGACAAUGGGCGAAAGCCUGAUCCAGCCAUGCCGCGUGUGUGAAGAAGGUCUUCGGAUUGUAAAGCACUUUAAGUUGGGAGGAAGGGCAGUAAGUUAAUACCUUGCUGUUUUGACGUUACCGACAGAAUAAGCACCGGCUAACUCUGUGCCAGCAGCCCGGUAAUACAGAGGGUGCAAGCGUUAAUCGGAAUUACUGGGCGUAAAGCGCGCGUAGGUGGUUUGUUAAGUUGGAUGUGAAAGCCCCGGGCUCAACCUGGGAACUGCAUCCAAAACUGGCAAGCUAGAGUACGGUAGAGGGUGGUGGAAUUUCCUGUGUAGCGGUGAAAUGCGUAGAUAUAGGAAGGAACACCAGUGGCGAAGGCGACCACCUGGACUGAUACUGACACUGAGGUGCGAAAGCGUGGGGAGCAAACA
RNAcentral lists this ribosomal RNA (426 nucleotides) under uncultured bacterium. Its description in RNAcentral is "partial 16S ribosomal RNA". It matches the Rfam family "Bacterial small subunit ribosomal RNA", at positions 355 to 774 of the family's 1533-position model. The record is from RNAcentral.